ACGAACGCUGGCGGCGUGCCUAAUACAUGCAAGUAGAACGCUGAAGGAGGAGCUUGCUUCCCUGGAUGAGUUGCGAACGGGUGAGUAACGCGUAGGUAACCUGCCUGGUAGCGGGGGAUAACUAUUGGAAACGAUAGCUAAUACCGCAUAAGAGUAGAUGUUGCAUGACAUUUGCUUAAAAGGUGCAAUUGCAUCACUACCAGAUGGACCUGCGUUGUAUUAGCUAGUUGGUGGGGUAACGGCUCACCAAGGCGACGAUACAUAGCCGACCUGAGAGGGUGAUCGGCCACACUGGGACUGAGACACGGCCCAGACUCCUACGGGAGGCAGCAGUAGGGAAUCUUCGGCAAUGGACGGAAGUCUGACCGAGCAACGCCGCGUGAGUGAAGAAGGUUUUCGGAUCGUAAAGCUCUGUUGUAAGAGAAGAACGAGUGUGAGAGUGGAAAGUUCACACUGUGACGGUAUCUUACCAGAAAGGGACGGCUAACUACGUG
This 494-nucleotide ribosomal RNA is filed under the name uncultured bacterium. RNAcentral describes it as "partial 16S ribosomal RNA". It matches the Rfam family "Bacterial small subunit ribosomal RNA", at positions 29 to 507 of the family's 1533-position model. The record is from RNAcentral.